Helicoverpa zea (corn earworm) is the source of this 887-nucleotide long non-coding RNA. RefSeq lists it as uncharacterized. The record is from RefSeq and is a predicted model, not a curated record. Lineage: Eukaryota; Metazoa; Arthropoda; Insecta; Lepidoptera; Noctuidae. The transcript has 3 exons.
AAUAUUUGCACAAUAUUGCAGUAAACACACAGAGCGGUAUAUAGAGGGCAGUGACUGCUUAGCAAGUUAGUAGCACUAGCGACAUCAUGAGGACUCUCGCACUGAUCAUCCUUCUACUGGCGUGUUUGUCGCAGUCGACGGAGGUGCAGCAACUGCGAAUCUUGGAGAAGUGCAGCCUCAGCGGAGAGAAAUACAAACAACUGGAUGAUUAUCUAUCUGACAUCAUAGCACCACUACUAGGAAGAGUUUUUCUUGGACCAUACUACACUCACUUUAUAGUGGAAAAUUGAAAGCUUGUUUAUAGUAAUAACAGUAAACGUAAACCUGUGACAAUAAUAAAGUCUAUGUAUAUUAAUGCACCUGAUCUUUUGAAAAACUAAUAAACAAUUUUAUUUAUAAAGUAGCAUAUUUAUUGCAAUAAAAUUGAAAACAAAAAACAAUACAAACAGAUGUUAGGUUGGGUACAAUAAAAUAUCUGUAGCAAAGUGAAUGCAUUGUGCUAAUAUUUGCACAGCUCCACAAUAUUGCAGUAAACAGUCUGGCUGGUAUAUAGACUGCAGUAACUGCUCAGCAACUCAGUAACACCAGCGACAUCAUGAGAACUCUUUGCCUUAUCAUCCUUGUAGUGGCGUGUGUAUGGCAGUGUGCGCGCGCGCAGGGCAGCAUAGACAAGUGCGGCCUCACACAGGAGAUGUACAAGAAUCUCAAGAGCUAUGUAUUAAGGAACUUUCCACUUUUAAUUGCUACAGACAUAUUGGAUAAAAUAUUUGCUAUUUAAAUCAAAGGUUGAAUGCAAUCUUGUUCGCACUAUGUAUUUCCAUAAUAAUUACCUAUCUGUGCUGUAAUAAAUGUAUGAACUGUAAUAAAGUAUUCAUUUGAGACAAAAA